UGCUUCCAAUAUUGGUGUCUGCAUUCUGUAAUGACAGACGCUGGGAGACGAGAAGCAAGUACUGGGAGUGAACAUUUAAUAAACAACGGACAUGAAACAGAACACGGACAGCGUCUGUACAGGGGAGCAAAAUGAAAUUAACGCAGACAUGGGGAAGAAACAGAGGAAGUGACAAAUAUAGGGGGGUCAAUCAAUAAAGUAAUAUAGUCCAGGUGAGUCCCAUGAGAGCCAGAGUCCCAUGAGAGCCAGAGUCCCAUGAGCGCCAGAGAGGGGGAGUGGGAGCAGGCGUGACACAUGACAGCCAGAACGGGUUGUGCAGGUUGUGCGCUCUAGACCUCCAGUGCGUAGUCAAGGCCCCGUGUAUCCAGUUCCUGCUCCUCGCACUAGCCCUGUGGUGCGUGUCCCUAGUCUGGCACCUCCAAAGCCAGCCCCACGCACCAGGCCUUUAGUGUGCCUGCCCAGUCCAGUACGUCCUGUUCCUGCUCCUCGCACUAGCCUUGAGGUGCGUGUCCCUAGUCUGGCGCCUCCAAAUCCAGCCCCACGCACCAGGCCUUUAGUGCGCAGUCCCCGUGUAGAGCUUCCGGCGACAGUUCCCCGUCUAGAGCUUCCGGCGACAGUGCCCCGUUCAGUGCUUCCGGCGAAGGCCCACAGUCCGGAACCGACAGAGACGGCCCGCAGUCCGGAACCGACAGAGACGGUCCGGAACCGACAGAGACGGCCCGCAGUCCGGAACCGACAGAGACGGCCCGCAGUCCGGAACCGACAGACACGCCUGCCGGUCCGGCGCAGCCAGAGUCGCCGCGUCGGCCCGGCGCAGCCAGAGUCGCCGCGUCGGCCCGGCGCAGCCAGAGUCGCCGCGUCGGCCCGGCGCAGCCAGAGUCGCCGCGUCGGUCCGGCGCAGCCAGAGUCGCCGCCUGCGUAGUCAAGGCCCCGUGUAUCCAGUUCCUGCUCCUCGCACUAGCCCUGUGGUGUGCGUCCCUAGUCUGGCGCCUCCAAAGCCAGCCCCACGCACCAGGCCUUUAGUGCGCAGUCCCCGUCUAGAGCUUCCGGCGACAGUUCCCCGUCUAGAGCAUCCGGCGACAGUGCCCCGUCUAGAGCUUCCGGCGACAGUGCCCCGUCCAGUGCUUCCGGCGACGGCCCACAGUCCGGAACCGACAGAGACGGCCCGCAGUCCAGAACCGACAGAGACGGUCCGGAACCGACAGAGACGGCCCGCAGUCCGGAACCGACAGACACGCCUGCCGGUCCGGCGCAGCCUGCGUAGUCAAGGCCCUGUGUAUCCAGUUCCUGCUCCUCGCACUAGCCCUGUGGUGUGCGUCCCUAGUCUGGCGCCUUCAAAGCCAGUCCCACGCACCAGGCCUUUAGUGCGCAGUCCCCGUCUAGAGCUUCCGGCGACAGUGCCCUGUCUAGAGCUUCCGGCGACAGUGCCCCGUCCAGUGCUUCCGGCGACGGCCCACAGUCCGGAACCGACAGAGACGGCCCGCAGUCCGGAACCGACAGACACGCCUGCCGGUCCGGCGCAGCCUGCGUAGUCAAGGCCCUGUGUAUCCAGUUCCUGCUCCUCGCACUAGCCCUGUGGUGUGCGUCCCUAGUCUGGCGCCUCCAAAGCCAGCCCCACGCACCAGGCCUUUAGUGCGCAGUCCCCGUCUAGAGCUUCCGGCGACAGUGCCCUGUCUAGAGCUUCCGGCGACAGUGCCCCGUCUAGAGCUUCCGGCGACAGUGCCCCGUCCAGUGCUUCCGGCGACGGCCCACAGUCCGGAACCGACAGAGACGGCCCGCGGUCCGGAACCGACAGAGACGGCCCGCAGUCCGGAACCGACAGAGACGGCCCGCAGUCUGGAACCGACAGACACGCCCGCCGGUCCGGCGCAGCCAGAGUCGCCCGCCAAUCCGGCACAGCCAGAGUCGUCCGGCGCAGCCAGAGUCGGCCCGAGGUCUCCAGAGAUGCGCUACAGCCCUAAGCCUUCAGCGGGGGUGGACAGGUUAGAGUGGGGAUUAAGUCCAGAGCCAGAGCCACCUCCAUGGGGGGA
This 2030-nucleotide long non-coding RNA is filed under the name Salmo salar (Atlantic salmon). RNAcentral describes it as "lncRNA (ENSSSAG00000101846.1)". Lineage: Eukaryota; Metazoa; Chordata; Actinopteri; Salmoniformes; Salmonidae. The record is from RNAcentral.